UCAGCUCCGCUCUCGAGCGAGCACCCGGGGGACUGGGUCUCUCGUCUCUUUCCCCCAUCUUUCUCGUCAUGGGGUGCGGGGGGAGUGGAAGCUUGCAGGCAUCUUCUGCACAGAGAAGGAAAUCGGUCAGGAGAGAAGGGAAGAAGUCAUCUCCAGAGACCAGGAGCUGAGAGAGCUGAUUAAGUUGCCGAGGGUCAAAGCUCAAACUAAGCACAGACUUGCCACCUCGCUUCCCUUUCUGCAGGACCGGCUUGUCUUAGCAGAUCAAUUCGCCUGGCUCGGCUUCCAUCUUGAUUCCUGAACACAGGGAGAGCCGCGGCUAACCGGCCCGCACUGUCCCGAGGAGGACGAUAUUAAUAACAAUGACUGUGAAUCACUUUUUUUUUUCUUUCUGUGCCGUUAUUAUCAGCGCUGUGUGGGUGCUUAUUAUUAUUAAUAAUAAUUUGCUGCAGACUCUACCACUUUUGUGUAACAAUGAGUACCUGGAUUCUAAUUAUCUGUCUUAUUUUAAUAUUUAUGGAAUUAAUCAAACUUUUUAAUGGAAAACCCCACAAUGAAAUUACCGGGAGCAUGCUUCAAUGAAGACAGAUGCGACACGCUGUGGGAAGCGACAGCUCAACUUUAUUAGCAUUACUCCGAUCCAGCUCGGUGACGCAGGCUGGCCCCUGAGCCAAGCUGACCAGCAGCUGCACCGCCGGGAGCCCUCAGCCAAGACCCACCCCUCCACCCCUCUCCCACGCUGGACCCAUAGGGGGAGGACCCCAUCUGUGGCCAGGAAGAGGAACUCCCACAGCCCACAGUCACCUAGGCCCAAAAGACAAGAUGGCUUGUAACCAAAGCUAACAACCUAUUCAACACAGAUAGCCAUACUAGCCAAGUGAGUGGUGUGGCAAGUGAUCUCCUGGGGCUGGAAGGACUGGAAAGCUGGACUCAAGCACAGCCGGAAGAUCAAGGAAGAUGCUCCUUCCAUGAGGAAGAAAUCUGAGGCUCGAUGGGGUCACUUGGGUACCAGCAAGAAAAGAAACAUCACCGAUAGUAUUUUUUCAAGCCUGGAGGAUGGGAAACCUGGCCUGACGUCGGCCAGGUCAUGGUUACCUAAGACCUUGCUAAAAUUCUGCGGCUUUUCAGGGCCAGAUUGCAAGGGAAGGUGACAGUAUUGUUACUUAAACACACACGAGUUCUCCGUGACCAUGUUGUCACAUGGUCAGGCCGGCCUGUGCAGCGUUUUCUUUCUGUUCCUGACCCUGGCUGUCACCAAUGCAGAAAAUCAUCUGGAAAGCUUCGGAAAGUGCCCAACUUGAGAGUCCCACCACCCAGAGGUUGGUUCCUUGUCUGAGGCAUAACUCUAAGGACUGGUGAUGUAUGUGUGUUUAAGGGUCUCGGUCACUUUAAGCAAAACUUCUGUGCAGAGAUGCGGUUUGGAAAGAAAGACAGCUGGGUGAAAUUUACCCCAAGAAGUGAACACUCUUCCUACAGCUGACAUCCUCUUGCCCGGCACGUGAACUCUGAGGUCACAUUCCCAGAGAGCUCGCCCACACUCUGGGUAUGCACUCUGCUUUGUUAAGUGUCUCUUUAAUUAGCCCGCACUCAAACCUAUGUUUAAUUUCUUUUUAAUAAACUCUAACUCUGCUCUA
Long non-coding RNA from Peromyscus californicus insignis, 1634 nucleotides. RefSeq lists it as uncharacterized. NCBI's taxonomy places the organism in Eukaryota, Metazoa, Chordata, Mammalia, Rodentia, Cricetidae. The transcript is spliced from 2 exons. The record is from RefSeq and is a predicted model, not a curated record.